This is a long non-coding RNA of Quercus robur (English oak), 541 nucleotides long. RefSeq lists it as uncharacterized. The transcript is spliced from 2 exons. The record is from RefSeq and is a predicted model, not a curated record. NCBI's taxonomy places the organism in Eukaryota, Viridiplantae, Streptophyta, Magnoliopsida, Fagales, Fagaceae.
UCAUUUUCUCUCAUACACUCCUCUUUACUCUUUUAUCCUCUCUCACCGGUACUUCCACACCACCAUCACCACCAUUUCUACCAUCAUUUUCCGGCGAGAUCACUGGAAAAUUCUUUGAGAACCUAUAAACACCUUCACAUCCUUUUUUGAGUCUUUGUGACAAUGGAAUCAAAUCCAGGUCAAUACCCUUUCACUUUGGAUGAUGCAUUCUUCCCUGCUGCCCAUGAGGGGAAGAGGUUCCUUGAUUAUGUGUGGGUGAGGCUAUUGCCUUUGGGGCCAAGAGAACACAUGCAAGAGAGGUCCUAUUUGACACGCUCUCUUUGUUGCCCAUGGGGGGAGAGAAAAACCUCGAGGGUAUGGGUGAGGCUGCUGUCCAUGGGGCCAAGAGUCUGCAUACUUGAGAGGACAAUAUCAUACUAGUUGUGAAUUGGUGGAUCCCCUGACCAGUCUAUAUGGUAGUGUGGUAUAUUUAUGAUAAUUUACCUUAUGUUAGAUAUUAUGAUUUUGGAAAUUAUAUUGUUGGUGCUCACAGAUUCUAGUA